AACGAACGCUGGCGGCAUGCCUAACACAUGCAAGUCGAACGAGACCUUCGGGUCUAGUGGCGCACGGGUGCGUAACGCGUGGGAACCUGCCCUUAGGUUCGGAAUAACUCCCCGAAAGGGGUGCUAAUACCGGAUAAUGUCUUCGGACCAAAGAUUUAUCGCCUUUGGAUGGGCCCGCGUUGGAUUAGCUAGUUGGUAGGGUAAAAGCCUACCAAGGCGACGAUCCAUAGCUGGUCUGAGAGGAUGAUCAGCCACACUGGGACUGAGACACGGCCCAGACUCCCCCGGGGGGCGGGAUGGGGGAAAUUGGGACAAGGGGCGAAAGCCUGACCCCGCAAGGCCCCGGGAGGGAUGAAGGCCUUAGGGUUGUAAAGCUUUUUUACCCGGGAUUAUAAGGACAUUCCCGGGAGAAAAAGCUCCGGCUACCUCCUG
Molecule: ribosomal RNA, 432 nt
Filed under: uncultured bacterium
Lineage: Bacteria
Description: partial 16S ribosomal RNA
Rfam family: Bacterial small subunit ribosomal RNA
Source: RNAcentral